RNAcentral lists this long non-coding RNA (234 nucleotides) under Mytilus galloprovincialis (Mediterranean mussel). Lineage: Eukaryota; Metazoa; Mollusca; Bivalvia; Mytilida; Mytilidae. The record is from RNAcentral.
AAACCCGUUUUUCAAAAUAUUAAAUAGUUUUGACGAAAAUCAUAGUUUAGUGGUUACAAUAAAUGAAAUAUGUUACGCGGGACAACCUAAAAAUCGCCGUUUUAAAAAAAUUAAGCUUGUCGCAUGCAGCAUAAAACAUAGUUUCAACAAUUAUUUUUUUCGUUUUUAUUUUAAAAAUCGUUAUUUUUUAAAAUACGUACAAUAACAAUGCAUAUGAUAUCACACAAUUAUAUA